CUGGCAGAGGGUUCCAGGCAGAGAAAUGGCAUGUGCCGGAGUUGGGAGUGCCUGGAACUCAGAGGGAGUGUGGUGGUGCUGUAUACGCUCCACGUCCUUGCUUUGUUUAGGGGGCCGGGGUUUCCUCUUUAGUCUAUCCGGUCUCUGCUUCCACCGGCAGACAGGGUGGGUUCCUGGGAACUCCCUGGGUCCCAUCAUAAUACACUCGUAUUUCUGACCUUCUCUACAUUUGUUCCAAACUGGAGUUGGAGCUGGGACACCAGGAGGGCAUUCAGCACAUGCUGGGCCUGGGUCUUGUAGUGGGAAGAUAACGAGCUGUGCAGAGGCAGCUGCCUGAAAGGGGGGCCUUGGGCCUUCUGCUGUCACACUGCUCUCCUCUGUCAACUUCUCGUGCAGACACACUAUCCUGUGCUGCGCCAGCAUCAGGUGGCUGUGGGUACUCCCACAGCAGUUUCUUGGUGAGAAACCUGGAAGGUGUGAACACUGGUUCCCCCUCCUCCAGCAAGCCUGCUACUCUCCGAGGUGCACAGGCAGCGGGCUUUGUCAGCCUCCUCCUCCCAGGGUCGGCCCUGCUGGAGCACCACCUGGCCUGCCCGCCUCCCUCUCUCAGGAUGUGCCUGCUCCGUAGAUGUCACCUCCAGGAACAUGUGCAUUCUGCUGGACGCUCUGUAGCCAGGAGGACACACAGCCAUGCUCACAGAUACACUUCAAAUGGAUUUACUUCUGAGAUGUGUUUACAUGCUCCUCAGAAGGUCGCAGAGGACAGUUCAGUUUGGAGCCCAUCUCGGUCUCUAUGAAAUGGAAGAGGGCCAUGUGGACAGUGAGUGAGGUGGACAGUCAACAGAUACCGCAACGCCACAUCUGCGCCAGAACUCCCGUCGGGCCCAGGGACGCUGAGGAGAGAGACCUGGCUCUUGUCCACAAACAGCACCCAGCCUACUGGAGACAGAAAGGCAAACUAGCCCUUUAGGGCAACCUGCAAGAGUAGAGAGCCAGGCUGCAGGAGAGGAGUCAGCCAGGGCUGCAGACCCAGCGUGGGAGGAGCGCCAGAGGAGCAGCGGGAGGAGCUGCCAAGGACGAAGAAGGAAAGCACGAGAAGGCAAGAAGCAACAGCCCAAGGUCACAAGCUCCAAGUGGCAAAGCUGGACUUGAACCCUGGUGGUGGGGCCCAGACACUGUACCCCUCCCUCGUGCUCUGUGGCCCCCCCAUGUGCCCCCCAAACCCCAGUGUGGGAGGGCUUCAGCCUUGUCUCCCUGCCCUGCUUGCACCCUCAGCGGGGGCAAACACAGAACCCUGUGGUCACCAGCCGCAGGACCGUGGGUUCUCAUGUCCG
This 1334-nucleotide long non-coding RNA is filed under the name Equus asinus (donkey). Its description in RNAcentral is "lncRNA (ENSEASG00005029874.1)". Lineage: Eukaryota; Metazoa; Chordata; Mammalia; Perissodactyla; Equidae. The record is from RNAcentral.